Molecule: ribosomal RNA, 450 nt
Filed under: uncultured bacterium
Lineage: Bacteria
Description: partial 16S ribosomal RNA
Rfam family: Bacterial small subunit ribosomal RNA
Source: RNAcentral
GUGGGGAAUUUUGGACAAUGGGCGAAAGCCUGAUCCAGCAAUGCCGCGUGCAGGAUGAAGGCCCUCGGGUUGUAAACUGCUUUUGUACGGAACGAAAAGCUCUGGGCUAAUACCCCGGAGUCAUGACGGUACCGUAAGAAUAAGCACCGGCUAACUACGUGCCAGCAGCCGCGGUAAUACGUAGGGUGCAAGCGUUAAUCGGAAUUACUGGGCGUAAAGCGUGCGCAGGCGGUUUUGUAAGACAGUGGUGAAAUCCCCGGGCUCAACCUGGGAACUGCCAUUGUGACUGCAAAGCUAGAGUGCGGCAGAGGGGGAUGGAAUUCCGCGUGUAGCAGUGAAAUGCGUAGAGAUGCGGAGGAACACCGAUGGCGAAGGCAGCCUCCUGGGAUAACACUGACGCUCAGGCACGAAAGCGUGGGGAGCAAACAGGAUUAGAAACCCUGGUAGUCC